UUCACGGCCUCGUCAAGAGAAAUCACAGAGCUGCCCGAAUUCAGCCGUUGCGGCGCCCAUCGGGGCUUCCAAUCUCUUAACCAUAGCGUUGGGCCGGUUCGCGUGGCGCAUCGGUUUCCCAGCCCCCCAGCCCCCCGCGGCGCUCGUGGGCCGGCCUGACGCUAGUUCUAGGUUCAAUCCCCGAAUUGCUCUUAGGGCCGGCUCUGCCGGCCCUUUU
This 217-nucleotide small RNA is filed under the name Ancylobacter novellus DSM 506. RNAcentral describes it as "Starkeya novella DSM 506 Bradyrhizobiaceae sRNA BjrC174". It matches the Rfam family "Bradyrhizobiaceae sRNA BjrC174". Lineage: Bacteria; Pseudomonadati; Pseudomonadota; Alphaproteobacteria; Hyphomicrobiales; Xanthobacteraceae. The record is from Rfam by way of RNAcentral.